UACGAGGGGGGCAAGCGUUGUUCGGAAUUAUUGGGCGUAAAGGGCGCGUAGGCGGCGCCACAAGUCACUUGUGAAAACUCUGGGCUCAACUCAGAGCCUGCAAGCGAAACUGUGGUGCUGGAGUAUGGGAGAGGUGCGUGGAAUUCCUGGUGUAGCGGUGAAAUGCGCAGAUAUCAGGAGGAACACCAGCGGCGAAGGCGGCGCUCUGGGCCGGUACUGACACUGAGGAGCGAAAGCGUGGGUAGCAAACAGG
RNAcentral lists this ribosomal RNA (253 nucleotides) under uncultured bacterium. RNAcentral describes it as "partial 16S ribosomal RNA". It matches the Rfam family "Bacterial small subunit ribosomal RNA", at positions 524 to 776 of the family's 1533-position model. The record is from RNAcentral.